Molecule: long non-coding RNA, 4867 nt
Organism: Lolium perenne
Lineage: Eukaryota; Viridiplantae; Streptophyta; Magnoliopsida; Poales; Poaceae
Source: RefSeq, a predicted model, not a curated record
AAAUCACGUGGUUCCUAAGGUGAUUGUUUGUUGGUCGAUUAGAACCCGAUAAGAAAGAAUUAUUUUCUUACAUGUUUAUUUGGGUGACCCUGCAUAUACCUCUUUUGCGAAUACACAAAAUCCUUGUGUAUCAUUGCACUAAAAGAGGGAAACAGUUAUAGAGAGUAUAUAAUAUCUGAAGUAUUGUAGGUUUUUGGGUGAAUAUUGGCUUUAUUAUUACAUCUGUUAUGCCUGUCAAUGGAGCCUUUUGCAAUUGAUGCCAAUGAUAAUAAAAAAUUAAAGAGUCUACCACUGUUUUCGUGGUCACAUGAUAUACUACCUCUUUGUGUAAGCUCUACAUCUUGGAAGUUUAAACAUGCAUGGUUGGCUAAUAACAGUGUAUUUUGGAAAUUUGAUACACUUAUUUGAACCUAUAGCUCUAUGCAGAAUACAUUUUGGAAGUUCAGAAAUGCAUGCUUGGCUAAUAACAGUGUCUUUGGAAGUUUGAUAUACAUAUCUGAACCUGCAGCAUUUCAUUCUAGGAUUCAAGCAUAUGCUUGCGCUGCUCCGCCCGUUCAACGAGCAGUUUGGGUCUCUAACAGAUGGAUCACAUCUUGCUUUCUGAGAUACAUGAAUAGAGCAAGCAGUGGACUAUCUAUGCCCUUGUUUCUUGCAUGUGGCGCUAUCGUGGAGGGAUGGAGGGACCGUCAAAGGCCCCAUCAGGGAAACCACGUAUAUGGUCAGAUACCUCCAGAAGCCUACAAGAUGUACUAAAAGAGGGCGAGAUCUAUGUUAUAAAGAAGUUCACGUGUAACCCAUAAAACCCUGCUUCCAGGCUUGUAUAAAUAACUUCAGCUCUACGAGGAAUAGUGGAAAAGGAAAUUUAGUAGAGUAGCUGUCAUUCAUUCACUGAAAAUAUUAUCGACUGCAAUGAUAUAGGUAUAUAAACCAAGAUUCAAACCGAACAUUUUUGUCUCCCUGCUCACAAUAUGUACAAACAAACCUAAAUUUCAUAGUUUAAACCCUGCCUUGAUUCUGCCAUUUGCGCGAUAGCGCUUGAAUGAUUCCACUGAACACUAAUUACCAACGCUACCGUAAUAAUAUUAUUGUAACUAUUAUUAAGCUCAUUAGUAAGAUCAUUAUAAAAUUGUUGAUGUUUAAGAGGAUUUGCUGCUGUUUUUGCAGCUUUGUCAUGGAUCUAAGCAAAAAGAAGAGUCUCGGGAAGGUGAUUUGGAGGAAGGAGGCGACCAGUACUGGUCAAAACUAUUGUGUUGGAGGAGGGUGAAUUUGCCAUCUAUAAUUUUGUAUUUAGUUUAGUUCGGCGACACCCCUUGCUGAUGGUUUGAUCUUUCACUUUGUUGCUUUUCGACCGUCCAAUCUCACUGUUUGACGAAAACUUUUUUCACACCGAUGGUUAGUUUGGUAGAAUAGGUGCAUUGAAUCCAUAUGUUGUCCUGUGGGUUAGAAGAUGCUUAUGAGAGACUUUACUGUGUUUCUCUAUGCCUAUUUAUUUUGGCACUAUUAGGAUAGCUGCUUACUGCGGACAUGUAGAAUGAAACUUCCAGUUGCCUAUCAUGUAGGGAUUUUGAGGUAUUAUUUUGUGCUAUUGAUGAUAAUCCACUGUAUUACAAUUAAUCUGUGUUGUAGAAGCUUUAGCUGAUCUGGUUUUGUAUCUUUCGAAAUAGAUUUGAAGAGGUUGCACAUAUUCUGUUUUAGGUACUUAUAGCAAAUACAGAGUGGACCAAUAUUCGAAAAGAGCACAAGACUUGAGGAUUUGAGCAUGCUUGUAGGCCAGAAGCAUCACCUUCAGACUUCGUCACUUGUUGACAAUCUAAAAUUGACCCUGAACUGAUAUGGGCACUUGCUAAGCAAGACGUCAAAGACCAAAUACGUAUGCCACUAUUGAUUUGCAUAUCACAGCAGACACAAAACACUUGCAGGCUAAAAUAAUAGGCCAAGCCUAGGACUUGGCCUUUUGGUCAUAUGAUGUUGCAAAGCUGAGCAACAUCAUUUCUUUUAGUUAGUUUCUCAAGAUCCACCUUUUUCUUUCCCGACCCUUUGGGAUCAGAAUUUUGGCCACUGCAAACCUUCUGCAUUCCUCUGAUUAAUUAGUGCUGGGCAAGAUUUAAAAAGUUCUCUCACAGAUUUUAUUUUAGUUUGCAUGUGCUUUGCCCCUCGGAUCUUGUGACCAUGAUGUGGGUAAGCUCAAGGCUCAUCUGGUGUUUCCCAGUUGAGUAGCUGGGCUGCCUCGUGCAUUCAUGUCACAUAUUUUGAUUUUGAUAUAUGCUAAAUUGGUAUCUUCCUGCUAUAUUGAGCUCAACAACUUAUCUAGGUUAGAUAUGCUUUUAAACUGGGAUGUUUGGUGCAUCAUACUUAAGUAGUUUACUGAAUGGUACUAAUUGUUCAGAUCAGUAUAGUAUCUCAUCCUUUGUUUUUGGGUUUUGCUCCAGGUUGUCCCCUUAGUUCUUCUGUUAGCUGCUCUUAGAUGAGGCCUUCAAGCCCCAAAUAUCUCUCUCACACACUCAGUCCCUCUGUUUGUUUUCCUGAGGUGAGGUCUUCAAGCCCCUCUUAUGUUCUUGCAUCCGGCUGUGCCAUUUUUGCCUCGCUUUUAAAUUUCCCUUAGAUAAUCUUACCAUUACUUUCAAGGUUUUUACAAAUAUUGUUGGGAAACAUGCCUUAAGCUUUGACUGUCGAAUUCAGCAUGUUGAUUUUGAGCUCUGGCUACUAAAUUCACAAAAUUGAUUUUCAGGCAUUGACUUCUCAACAAAGGUAUUUUAUUUUACCCUUUUCUGUAUCGUGGAUGGUUACCUAAAUUUUGUUGGGUGUAUGUUCUCUGUACAAAAAAGUGCUUCGGAGGUCACGCUUACUCCUUCGGGUGGAUGCCGCAGCAGCGGCUCCCCCUCCCCCUUCUCUUCAUAUCUGUCUAAUGGGUAAGUCGAUCACUCCUAUUGUCCAGAUUGGAAAUGCCAUAUAUACACCUCACAGUAAGCUGCUGCACCACAUAGUGUCUACCUUGUCUGUUAAUGCUCAAGGUUUUCCAUGCUACCCAGUGCUAGAGUAGUUCUUGCUUGUGUAUUGUUCUAUUUAUGCAUCUCAAAGCAAUGUGAAACUGGUAUCUUUUGCUGAUAUACAUCUUCCUUAAACAUAAAGCAUUAAUUUUAAAGUUCAACAAGUGGCUACUAAGCUUUUCUUCAGUUCUGAAUGUUGUGGAAAAAUAUAGAGCAGAGAUGGCAUUGUCUAGGUGGUCCAAGCACUUCAUAUUCAUCCAGUCGGAAGAAAAUUCAUGCUAAUUAGUUGCAGGAUCGGUUUCUAUUUUCAGCAGAUCACCCUAACCCGUAAUAAUCUCUACAAGGAAAACCGAAGUGCAGAUCACCUACCACAGCCUUUUAAUUACCUUACUACAUGGCUAACAAUCAAAUUUAUUAAAUGGGCAAUCUGCGACUUCUAGCUAAUCUUUUAUGCAGAGCACAAUAUAGUCUUCUUUGGUUAUUCAAAGUUUAAUGCUUGGCCUUUUAACAGGGUUAAAAUGAUAGACCACUCACUCUUCACUAAUUCUGUGACAUGUCACUUCCACUUAGAUCAAAGCAUCCAUACAAAUCACUUGGAGGUUAAGCAAUACAAUCUCUACAUAAUACGCAGUACACAAAAAAUUAGUUGAUCUGUUUUUGUUUCUAUGAUGACCUUCUGAAUGUAUAAUACUUUUUUUUCAUAAACCAGUUACCAGUCCUAACUAGAGACAAAUGUUGAACUUUUGAAUGGUUUAAAAGGUACUACCUCUGGACAGAAUUAAUUGACGCAGCAACCCACUAAUCACAUGCGUGAGCAAGUCUCCCUCCGCGUCAAUUAAAUCCGACCGGAGGGAGUAUUAUAAAAAGCACCAGGUCUUGAGCAAAAUGGAGAUUUCAGGCUUGAGUAGGUAAAUGAACGUGUCUUUUUUUCCAGUUCCGAUUGAACCGUCGAGUACAGUACCAUCCUUCUGGUUGCAUCUCCUUGCGUGAGCUCAUUCCUCCCAAACUUUGCCGCUAAUUUUGGGCUCAGCUUUUGAGCAGUUCUUGAUUUAUUAGUUACUUGCUUAAUGUGGGACCUAAGUAUGUUGUCCUUUUCUGUUGUAAAUUCUUCACCUGUUCAAGUCUAAUAGUUAAAACAAUCGAAUAAUUUCUACAGUUCUUGUGGUGAACUGGUCAACCGAAAGAUAGGCCAGCAAAGGCUGCACACAAAAAAAUACAGUUUAGAACUUGGAUGCUUGAGUGGGAACAAGGCCCUCCUCUAAAUAUUAAUUGUCUAUUUGUGCUUCACCUCGAGUUAUUGUAAUGCAUAGAUGUAUAUUCCUUUUUUUACAUUCAUUAGUGCUACUAAUGUACUGAUAUAAUUUAUAUAUUUCUGGAAAACAUAGGCCGGAGCCAGGGUGGUCGUAGCAAUCUGAAAGGCAAGGGGGUGGGAAGACCAUCGUCUUUCCUUCAGGCACAGGCUGCAGUGGCCUCCCUGUCGUCCCAAUGAGCCGCCUGGUCAGCCUUGAAGACUUGACUGACUUUGUUGGCUCUGUUGCCACAAAUUCAAUUAAGCGCCGCUCGCCUCUGGCUGCUUUGGCGGUCGGGUGUGACCUGGCCGUUCUGGCUCAGCCGUGGUGCUACCAUAAUACCAUCUUGAACACAGGCAUAUGACUCGACUUUUGGACUGGUUGCUACAAUUGAAAUAAUUGGGCUUCUUAUGCCUUCCCUUUACAUAAGGUGCUAUAUCUGGCUUAAUAUCAGAGGAACUGCCAGUAAUAAUGAUGUAUAGUGAUCUUGGUAUGCAAGUAUGAUCAGGACCAUUUGGCAUGGCCUGCGCGCAUUUGUUCUUUGCUUCUUAGUGAUGCUCCUGGUGUAUUCUUAUUGAAGGAAACGACACU